GUCAGUGAUCAGAGAACCUCUGUUCUACCCUCCUGCCAAUCUGUCCUCCUGGGUGAUUGCUCAGGUUGUGUUAAGAAUUCGCUUGAUGUGAGUGCAGGAAUUUCGCCACUCUCCCAGUUCCCAGACGCUACAACUUGUCGGUUCGACCCAUCGUGUGCGCCCGGGGGAUGUAUUCUCCAAGAGUCCUAAGGUUGCGUUUUGAUCUACUCGUGACUGUUUGGAGAAGUGAGAAGGUCCCAUGUUGUGCCAGUGGGGGCUGCAACAUAACUGGGCCAAGAUCUGCAGAUCAGAGGAGCAGCCAUCUUUGAGUGACCUUGAAGGAAGUUGCCUUGAGACCAAGUUUGGAUGACAUAGUGGCCUUUGGCAGAAGGGAAGCCUGAGUUGGCCAGUGGUGACUCUGCUUCUGUGGUGUGGAAGAAAAGAUAUCAUCACAGACCCACAUCAUCAAGGUUGGUGAAUCCAUUCAUCUGAGGCUAUAGAGUGAGAGGUAGAGCGAAGAGGAAGAGGAUGCUCUCCUUUUAGAAUUUAAAAUAGAAAUAUUCUAACAAAGUAUUCCAAAUUAUCAUUACAUUCAUACGUUUCUCCUGCUUCUAGUCAAUGGGGCAUCAUUUCACAGAGUAGCAGAGUAUAUGAAAAAAAACAAACAAACAUUAAAAAAAAAAAAAAAAAAACCACUGAAAACAGGAAACCUUGUGCUCUGAUCCCAAGUAGUAAGGCCAUUAAUUGUGAAUAUUCUCGCUAAAGUCAGUUUUCUCUGAAGGGAAAGAGAAGCUAUAAGAUCAAAAGAUUGUCCUGCUCUAAAACUCUAUAAACUGAAUUGGCUUUCUUAUUCAAUCCAAACUCUUCAGCCCAGUGAGAACACCUUACCCACCCAUCUCCAUCUCACUUCAAUUCUUAUCAUUUCCCAACCAAAUCCUUUUCCAGAUAAGCUAGUCAACUUGCCAGUCCCUGUGACUGGCUUCUGCAGUCCAACAUUCGUAAUUGGUGUAGGUGAUAUGCUUAUUUUCACUACUUUCUACUCCUAAACAAUGUUAUUUAAUUUCCCCAAACUCCUGUUCACAAAUAAUCUACUUAUGAAGACCUAGUGGUGAAUUUUUUCCAUCUCUGAUCAAUUUGUUCAAACAUAUGUCAUGUGUUUGGGGAGUAUAGCAAUGUUAAAUUAAAAGAAAACUAGUAUUUUCUUAAGCUCUUGGCAUGCCCUUAAAAUACUUUCAUCUGUAUUAAGUCUCCUAAUUAAACUGUAAGCACAAAGUUCUUAUAUUCCAUAAUAGAAUAUAUGGAAUUUUCCAACUUCUUCCAGUAAAUAAACAAUGUUUUAGAAACAAUAAAAAUAAAAUUCCUAACCAUGGAGCCAUUCACUGGUACAGGACUGAAACAUUCUUGGCCCAGAGUAGGCAUUCAAUAAAUAUUUUUAUGUAAAUAUAUAAGUAAGUCAAUCGACCCUUUUCUAUUCAACCAUAAUUUUAUACACACACACACACACACACACACACA
Long non-coding RNA from Herpailurus yagouaroundi (jaguarundi), 1494 nucleotides. RefSeq lists it as uncharacterized. Lineage: Eukaryota; Metazoa; Chordata; Mammalia; Carnivora; Felidae. The record is from RefSeq and is a predicted model, not a curated record. The transcript has 2 exons.